RNAcentral lists this ribosomal RNA (1436 nucleotides) under uncultured Alphaproteobacteria bacterium. RNAcentral describes it as "bacterial SSU rRNA". It matches the Rfam family "Bacterial small subunit ribosomal RNA". The record is from RNAcentral. Lineage: Bacteria; Pseudomonadati; Pseudomonadota; Alphaproteobacteria.
AGAGUUUGAUCCUGGCUCAGAACGUACGCUGGCGGCACGCCUAAUACAUGCAAGUCGAACGAAGUAGCAAUACUUAGUGGCAGACGGGUGAGUAACAUGUGGGUAUCUUCCCUUUGGUGAGGAAUAACACGAGGAAACUUGUGCUAAUACCUCAUAAGUCUUUACGGAGAAAGCUUUAUGCGCCAAUGGAUGAGCCCGCACUUGAUUAGUUUGUUGGUGGGGUAAUGGCCUACCAAGACAAUGAUCAAUAGCUGAUUUGAGAGGAUGAUCAGCCACAUUGGGACUGAGACACGGCCCAAACUCCUACGGGAGGCAGCAGUAGGGAAUCUUGCACAAUGGGGGAAACCCUGAUGCAGCGAUGCCGCGUGAGUGAAGAAGGCCCUUGGGUUGUAAAGCUCUUUCGUCGGGGAAGAAAAUGACUGUACCCGAAUAAGAAGGUCCGGCUAACUUCGUGCCAGCAGCCGCGGUAAUACGAAGGGACCUAGCGUAGUUCGGAAUUACUGGGCUUAAAGAGUUCGUAGGUGGUUAAAAAAGUUGGUGGUGAAAUCCCAGAGCUUAACUCUGGAACUGCCAUCAAAACUUUUUAGCUAGAGUAUGAUAGAGGAAAGCAGAAUUUCUAGUGUAGAGGUGAAAUUCGUAGAUAUUAGAAAGAAUACCAAUUGCGAAGGCAGCUUUCUGGAUCAUUACUGACACUGAGGAACGAAAGCAUGGGUAGCGAAGAGGAUUAGAUACCCUCGUAGUCCAUGCCGUAAACGAUGUGUGUUAGACGUUGGAAAUUUAUUUUCAGUGUCACAGUGAAAACAAUAAACACACCGCCUGGGGAGUACGACCGCAAGGUCAAAGCUCAAAUGAGUUGACGGGGACCCGCACAAGUAGUGGAGCAUGUGGUUUAAUUCGAAGAUACGCGCAGAACCUUACCAACACUUGACAUGUUCGUCGCGACUCUAAGAGAUUAGAGUUUUCGGUUCGGCCGGACGAAACACAGGUGCUGCAUGGCUGUCGUCAGCUCGUGUCGUGAGAUGUUGGGUUAAGUCCCGCAACGAGCGCAACCCUUACUUUUAGUUGCCAUCAUUUAGUUGGGCACUCUGAAAGAACUGCCAGUGAUAAGCUGGAGGAAGGUGGGGAUGACGUCAAGUCCUCAUGGCCCUUACGUGUUGGGCUACACACGUGCUACAAUGGUAUCUACAACAGGAAGCAAGAUGGCAACAUUAAGCAAAUCCUAAAAAGUUACCUCAGUUCGGAUUGCACUCUGCAACUCGAGUGCAUGAAGCUGGAAUUACUAGUAAUCGCGGAUCAGCGUGCCGCGGUGAAUACGUUCCCGGGUCUUGUACACACCGCCCGUCACACCAUGGGAGUUGGUUCUACCUUAAGGCAAAGUUUAAAAACUUUGACCACGGUAUAGUCGGCGACUGGGGUGAAGUCGUAACAAGGUAACC